Molecule: non-coding RNA, 45 nt
Filed under: Schistosoma curassoni
Lineage: Eukaryota; Metazoa; Platyhelminthes; Trematoda; Strigeidida; Schistosomatidae
Source: RNAcentral
AUCCAGCUGACGAGUCUCGAAUAAGACGAGACGCGCGUCUUGUAU